ACGGAACUGUAUUACUCAAAUAGGAGAAGAUUUACUUCAUUUCUCCUACUCCAAACCCUUCGAUCCCCACCAUUACUGUACCACCAUUUUACUUCCCUCAAGAUCAAUUUUGAAGAGAGAUUUCAAGCAAUAAUUACAAUACUUUGAAAGAAAAGGUUCGAGUGGCAGUAUAGAGUGAACAAGCAAGGUCUUCUACUUCAUUAAGUAUAUCAGGUUAAGCUGUGGUGCAGAUGGAAGCGAGCAGAGUAAAUUCUUUGAUGUAUAUGUAUUAAACCAGGCUCAGGAUUCCAUGUCUUCAUACAUGUAAUCCACAUGAAUUAUUCCGCUGCAACACUUAGUCUAUUCUACUUUAUUGAGGUGUUGUACAUAUUUUAAAACAAUAGCUUUGAGAAUUAUGUCACUUGAAAGUUAGACAACUUGUCGUUGUGUAUUGUAAGUUGUCUACUCAUGAGUUUUAAAAGUGAUUGCUUAUGAUUAUCCAAUAUUAAGUAAUUCAUCGUUAAA
Long non-coding RNA from Salvia miltiorrhiza (redroot sage), 504 nucleotides. RefSeq lists it as uncharacterized. Lineage: Eukaryota; Viridiplantae; Streptophyta; Magnoliopsida; Lamiales; Lamiaceae. The record is from RefSeq and is a predicted model, not a curated record. The transcript is spliced from 3 exons.